Molecule: ribosomal RNA, 406 nt
Filed under: uncultured bacterium
Lineage: Bacteria
Description: partial 16S ribosomal RNA
Rfam family: Bacterial small subunit ribosomal RNA
Source: RNAcentral
AUUGAACGCUGGCGGCAGGCCUAACACAUGCAAGUCGAGCGCGCGGCGGACGGGUGAAUAAUGUGUGGGGAUCCGCCAGGGAGGGGGGGAUAACUACUGGAAAGUGGGGCUAAUAGCGCAUACUAUCGGAUGCACCCAUAGGGGAUUAGCUAGUAGGUGGGGAAAAGGCUCACCUAGGCGACGAUCUCUAGCUGGUCUGAGAGGAUGAUCAGCCACACUGGGACUGAGACACGGCCCAGACUCCUACGGGAGGCAGCAGUGGGGAAUAUUGCACAAUGGGCGCAAGCCUGAUGCAGCCAUGCCGCGUGUAUGAAGAAGGCCUUAGGGUUGUAAAGUACUUUCAGCGGGGAGGCGUUACCCGCAGAAGAAGCACCGGCUAACCCCGUGCCAGCCGCCGCGGUAAUUC